UCCCCCUGGUGAAGUUUCCUAUCUUUUGGGGGACCUGCGCGGAACCAUGUAGGCCACUGGGGAAAUUGCUCGCG
Non-coding RNA from Plasmodium vivax (malaria parasite P. vivax), 74 nucleotides. The record is from the annotation of a RefSeq genome assembly. Lineage: Eukaryota; Apicomplexa; Aconoidasida; Haemosporida; Plasmodiidae.